RNAcentral lists this ribosomal RNA (257 nucleotides) under uncultured bacterium. Its description in RNAcentral is "partial 16S ribosomal RNA". It matches the Rfam family "Bacterial small subunit ribosomal RNA", at positions 524 to 777 of the family's 1533-position model. The record is from RNAcentral.
UACGAAGGGGGCUAGCGUUGCUCGGAAUCACUGGGCGUAAAGGGUGCGUAGGCGGGUUUUUAAGUCAGGGGUGAAAUCCUGGAGCUCAACUCCAGAACUGCCUUUGAUACUGAAGAUCUUUGAGUCCGGGAGAGGUGAGUGGAACUGCGAGUGUAGAGGUGAAAUUCGUAGAUAUUCGCAAGAACACCAGUGGCGAAGGCGGCUCACUGGCCCGGGUACUGACGCUGAGGCACGAAAGCGUGGGGGAGCAAACAGGG